GGCGAUGAAGGACGUGCUAAUCUGCGAUAAGCGUCGGUAAGGUGAUAUGAACCGUUAUAACCGGCGAUUUCCGAAUGGGGAAACCCAGUGUGUUUCGACACACUAUCAUUAACUGAAUCCAUAGGUUAAUGAGGCGAACCGGGGGAACUGAAACAUCUAAGUACCCCGAGGAAAAGAAAUCAACCGAGAUUCCCCCAGUAGCGGCGAGCGAACGGGGAGCAGCCCAGAGCCUGAAUCAGUGUGUGUGUUAGUGGAAGCGUCUGGAAAGGCGCGCGAUACAGGGUGACAGCCCCGUACACAAAAAUGCACAUGCUGUGAGCUCGAUGAGUAGGGCGGGACACGUGGUAUCCUGUCUGAAUAUGGGGGGACCAUCCUCCAAGGCUAAAUACUCCUGACUGACCGAUAGUGAACCAGUACCGUGAGGGAAAGGCGAAAAGAACCCCGGCGAGGGGAGUGAAAAAGAACCUGAAACCGUGUACGUACAAGCAGUGGGAGCCUCUUUAUGGGGUGACUGCGUACCUUUUGUAUAAUGGGUCAGCGACUUAUAUUCUGUAGCAAGGUUAACCGAAUAGGGGAGCCGAAGGGAAACCGAGUCUUAACUGGGCGUUAAGUUGCAGGGUAUAGACCCGAAACCCGGUGAUCUAGCCAUGGGCAGGUUGAAGGUUGGGUAACACUAACUGGAGGACCGAACCGACUAAUGUUGAAAA
RNAcentral lists this ribosomal RNA (707 nucleotides) under Escherichia coli. RNAcentral's name for it is "partial 23S ribosomal RNA". It matches the Rfam family "Bacterial large subunit ribosomal RNA", at positions 45 to 795 of the family's 2925-position model. Lineage: Bacteria; Pseudomonadati; Pseudomonadota; Gammaproteobacteria; Enterobacterales; Enterobacteriaceae. The record is from RNAcentral.